GGGGGGAAGCCGGAUCCUGGGCUGUGUCCCCGGCAUCCUGUGCUCCCUGGCCUGCGCUGUUGGAUUCGUGCUCCCGGCCAUGCAGCCCCUU
This 91-nucleotide microRNA precursor is filed under the name Canis lupus familiaris (dog). RNAcentral's name for it is "mir-8799 microRNA precursor family". It matches the Rfam family "mir-8799 microRNA precursor family". RNAcentral also lists the same sequence under 1 other name. Lineage: Eukaryota; Metazoa; Chordata; Mammalia; Carnivora; Canidae. The record is from Rfam by way of RNAcentral.